UACGUAGGGUGCAAGCGUUAAUCGGAAUUACUGGGCGUAAAGCGUGCGUAGGCGGUUCGUUAAGUCAGCUGUGAAAGCCCCGGGCUCAACCUGGGAACUGCGGUUGAAACUGGCGAACUAGAAUCUGGCAGGAGGGGGGUGGAAUUCCACGUGUAGCAGUGAAAUGCGUAGAGAUGUGGAGGAACACCGAUGGCGAAGGCAGCCCCCUGGGCUGAGAUUGACGCUCAGGCACGAAAGCGUGGGGAGCAAACAGG
This 254-nucleotide ribosomal RNA is filed under the name uncultured bacterium. Its description in RNAcentral is "partial 16S ribosomal RNA". It matches the Rfam family "Bacterial small subunit ribosomal RNA", at positions 524 to 776 of the family's 1533-position model. The record is from RNAcentral.